CGGCCGCGCGGGCAGCCCGGUGGGGCGGAGCGAGGCAGCCGGAGGGGCGGGCUCCCGGCGUCGUGGUCGCGCUCGCGUGCUCCGUUCCCUGCGGCUGCCCGGACCCUUGGCCAUGUCCUGGUACCGCGCGGCUUCGAAUGGGAAACAGCACAUCCUCGUUUUGGGGGAAGUCAGCCACUACUCCUGUGAACCAGAUCCAAGAAACAAUUUCUAAUAAUUGUGUGGUGAUUUUCUCAAAAUCAUCCUGCUCUUACUGUUCAAUGGCCAAGAAGAUUUUCCAUGACAUGAAUGUCAACUAUAAAGUCGUGGAGUUGGAUAUGGUGGAAUAUGG
RNAcentral lists this long non-coding RNA (331 nucleotides) under Rattus norvegicus (Norway rat). Its description in RNAcentral is "long non-coding RNA NONRATT008285". The record is from RNAcentral. Lineage: Eukaryota; Metazoa; Chordata; Mammalia; Rodentia; Muridae.